UACACUCCUGCGGGAGGCAGCAGUGGGGAAUAUUGGACAAUGGGCGCAAGCCUGAUCCAGCCAUGCCGCGUGAGUGAUGAAGGCCCUAGGGUUGUAAAGCUCUUUCACCGGUGAAGAUAAUGACGGUAACCGGAGAAGAAGCCCCGGCUAACUUCGUGCCAGCAGCCGCGGUAAUACGAAGGGGGCUAGCGUUGUUCGGAUUUACUGGGCGUAAAGCGCACGUAGGCGGACUAUUAAGUCAGGGGUGAAAUCCCGGGGCUCAACCCCGGAACUGCCUUUGAUACUGGUAGUCUUGAGUUCGAGAGAGGUGAGUGGAAUUCCGAGUGUAGAGGUGAAAUUCGUAGAUAUUCGGAGGAACACCAGUGGCGAAGGCGGCUCACUGGCUCGAUACUGACGCUGAGGUGCGAAAGCGUGGGGAGCAAACAGGAUUAGAAACCCCGGUAGUCCCA
This 449-nucleotide ribosomal RNA is filed under the name uncultured organism. RNAcentral describes it as "partial 16S ribosomal RNA". It matches the Rfam family "Bacterial small subunit ribosomal RNA", at positions 332 to 797 of the family's 1533-position model. The record is from RNAcentral.